CUUAGUUACCAGCGCGUAAUGUCGGGCACUCUAGGGAGACUGCCGGUGACAAACCGGAGGAAGGUGGGGAUGACGUCAAGUCAUCAUGGCCCUUACGGGCAGGGCUACACACGUGCUACAAUGGUCCGUACAGAGGGUUGCCAAGCUCGCGAGGUGGAGCUAAUCCCAUAAAAGCGGAUCGUAGUCCGGAUUGGAGUCUGCAACUCGACUCCAUGAAGUCGGAAUCGCUAGUAAUCGUGGAUCAGAAUGCCACGGUGAAUACGUUCCCGGGCCUUGUCACCCCCGCCGUCACCCCCAUGGGAGGGGGUGCACCAAGAAGUUAGUAGUCUAACCUCAGGAGGGACGCUACCACGUUGGAAUGCAGU
RNAcentral lists this ribosomal RNA (365 nucleotides) under Halopseudomonas oceani. Its description in RNAcentral is "bacterial SSU rRNA". It matches the Rfam family "Bacterial small subunit ribosomal RNA", at positions 1110 to 1471 of the family's 1533-position model. Lineage: Bacteria; Pseudomonadati; Pseudomonadota; Gammaproteobacteria; Pseudomonadales; Pseudomonadaceae. The record is from RNAcentral.